GAAGUAGCUCAGCUUGGUAGAGCACCUGGUGUGUCUGACUACGAAUCAGAAGGUUGUAGGUUCGAGUCCUACUGGGUGCA
Molecule: transfer RNA, 80 nt
Filed under: Apilactobacillus timberlakei
Lineage: Bacteria; Bacillati; Bacillota; Bacilli; Lactobacillales; Lactobacillaceae
Description: Lactobacillus timberlakei tRNA-Arg
Rfam family: tRNA (bases 22-80)
About the family: Transfer RNA (tRNA) molecules are approximately 80 nucleotides in length. Their secondary structure includes four short double-helical elements and three loops (D, anti-codon, and T loops).
Source: RNAcentral